UUAUAUUAUGUUUAAUGAAAACUAAUAUUCUAAAUUAUUCAGAAACUGGUUUUAAAGAACUUAUCUAAACUUAAAAGAAUCAAGUCAUUAUAUGAAUCUCUUAACAUUUGCUAAAAAGAUAAAUAGCGUGGCGUCAUCAUAAAAUCUAAAUAAUGUAAAUAAUUAAAGUAAUAAUUAUUUCACAUCUCUAUCUAAGUAAUUCAAGUUAAGUCUUUUAAAUGUUAAAUUAAAUAAAAUGUUUAAAUAGAGUUGCAGUCGUAACGUAUUGUUAUGUUAAGUCUAGUUUGCAUUUAAAAGAAUGAUUUCAAUCUUCAGCUAAGGAAGUGUUUCGGUUAUUAAAAUGUACAUAUGUAAUUAUUGUUUUUAUGUGUUUAAAAAGGACAAGUUAUUUGUCUUGUUUUAGCAUAGUUAGUUUUCUUACUUUAUUCAAUGUAUUUUGCUAAUGAAAGUAUCAGUGCGCUGCUGCAAGGUAUAGUUAGGUUUUUAGGCAGUUCAAUUAUAGAGUUAUCUCCCAUGCGAAAACAGCGUUUUCAGUCAAAUCAGAUAUUCAGUCAACAUGGGUUUCUCUUUAUUAAGUUCUUAUGUCAUGUAUGUCAUAGACUCUGAAGUCAACCAGUCAGAGGUUAUCAUACGUCAGAAUCAUCAACCAGUCAGAGGUUAUCAUUCAGUAUAUUGGUCAGACACAAAUUGGUCGCAUACAUUACAACUGCACAGUCACAAGUAGUUCACACAGCAAUUCCACACAACAAACAAAACACGCCAAGUAACAAGCUCACAC
Molecule: long non-coding RNA, 778 nt
Organism: Mytilus trossulus (common blue mussel)
Lineage: Eukaryota; Metazoa; Mollusca; Bivalvia; Mytilida; Mytilidae
Exons: 3
Source: RefSeq, a predicted model, not a curated record